UGGUUGAUCCUGCCAGUAGUGAUA
This 24-nucleotide ribosomal RNA is filed under the name Ribes sanguineum. RNAcentral describes it as "partial 18S ribosomal RNA". Lineage: Eukaryota; Viridiplantae; Streptophyta; Magnoliopsida; Saxifragales; Grossulariaceae. The record is from RNAcentral.